This 493-nucleotide ribosomal RNA is filed under the name uncultured bacterium. Its description in RNAcentral is "bacterial SSU rRNA". It matches the Rfam family "Bacterial small subunit ribosomal RNA", at positions 28 to 513 of the family's 1533-position model. The record is from RNAcentral.
GACGAACGCUGGCGGCGUGGAUUAGGCAUGCAAGUCGAACGGUAGGAUACCUUCGGGUAUCUGAGAGUGGCGAACGGGUGAGUAACACGUAGGUGAUCUACCCUCAAGAUUGGGACAACCCAGGGAAACUUGGGCUAAUACCGGAUGAAAGCAGCAGUGAUGUUGUUUGAAAGGUGGCGUAAGCUGCCGUUUGGGGAUGAGCCUGCGCUCUAUUAGUUAGUUGGCGGGGUAAAGGCCCACCAAGGCGAUGAUAGAUAGGCGGCCUUAACGGGUGGUCGCCCACACUGGGAUUGAGAUACGGCCCAGACUCCUACGGGAGGCAGCAGUCGAGAAUAGUCUACAACGGCCGAAAGGCUGAUAGUGCGACGCCGCGUGAACGAAGAAGCCCUUCGGGUGUAAAGUUCUUUUAUAUGUGAGCAGUGCUUUCUAUGUGAACAGCAUGGGGAGAGAGAUAUUAGCAUAUGAAUAAGCAACGGCUAACUCCGUGCCAGCA